Molecule: long non-coding RNA, 559 nt
Organism: Cicer arietinum (chickpea)
Lineage: Eukaryota; Viridiplantae; Streptophyta; Magnoliopsida; Fabales; Fabaceae
Source: RefSeq, a predicted model, not a curated record
GAAUUAAAGUGACAAAUUUGAUCCUUCGUUGUACUAAAAACUAUUCAACUGAAAUAAGCAUAGCAUGAGGUUUUUCACAAUAUAAAGUGAUCAAACAAUUUUGUAUUUGUUGCAUGCAAAGGUAGAGUAAAAAAUGGCUAAAACUCUCAAGGUUUUUUAUACAGUGAUCCUUUUUGUGUUCCUAUUUCUUUGUCUAGUCGAUGGUGGUGCUACACCAUGUAAGUCAAACUUCGAUUGUCUAGAUUUCGGAUGUCCCCUUAAACAUUGUGGAGUUUGUGUAAAUGGUUUUUGUAAGUGCUCUUUCGGGUUAAGGUUAAAUUCAACAUGAUCAAGACAAGCAAUCAAUGGAGGUUUUCUUGCGGAACUGAAGUACUAGAGGCUUGUACUUCACUUUAUUUUAAGAAUUUUUUUUACUGUCGUUGAUUUUGUGCUAUGGGUAGAGAUCUUGGAACUUCAAUAAUAUCUUUUGAAUGAGUUACUCUAUUUAAUAAUUGUUUGUAUUGUUUAAGAUUUAGUGUUUACACUUGCUUUAAUUUUUAGUUUUCAAUGUUAUGAGUUA